RNAcentral lists this small nuclear RNA (23 nucleotides) under Arabidopsis thaliana (thale cress). RNAcentral describes it as "snRNA_07651". Lineage: Eukaryota; Viridiplantae; Streptophyta; Magnoliopsida; Brassicales; Brassicaceae. The record is from RNAcentral.
AUAAAAUACAAAACAAUAUAUUA